AGCAAAUCAAUUUUCUAUGCAUGAUGAUGAAAUAAUAGAAGCUAGAGCUUUUCAUGGAAAAUUGGAGAUUGCAGUAGUUAAAUGUUUAGGGUAAAACUAACAAAACCAGGAUAGUGAACUACAUAGCCCCAUCCAGUCAAAUUCUCAUAAGGAUAAGCUCAAGUCUAAGUUUUAGACUUAUUUUCUUAAAAAGCCAAGCUCAAGUCUAAUUUUUAGGCUCGUUUAAUAAACAAGUCAAGCCUGAGCUCACACUAAUAAUGGGCUUCUUAAGACUUGCGAGCCAGCUUGUGAGCUAGCUUGUUUAACAGGCUCAUGAGCAAACUUGUUAACUUAGUUUAUUAAGUGAAAAUGUA
RNAcentral lists this unclassified non-coding RNA (353 nucleotides) under Hevea brasiliensis (rubber tree). Lineage: Eukaryota; Viridiplantae; Streptophyta; Magnoliopsida; Malpighiales; Euphorbiaceae. The record is from RNAcentral.